AUGGGCGCAAGCCUGAUGCAGCCAUGCCGCGUGUAUGAAGAAGGCCUUCGGGUUGUAAAGUACUUUCAGCAGUGAGGAAGGUGGAUGUGUUAAUAGCGCCUUCAUUUGACGUUAGCUGCAGAAGAAGCACCGGCUAACUCCGUGCCAGCAGCCGCGGUAAUACGGAGGGUGCGAGCGUUAAUCGGAAUUACUGGGCGUAAAGCGCAUGCAGGUGGUUUGUUAAGUCAGAUGUGAAAGCCCGGGGCUCAACCUCGGAAUUGCAUUUGAAACUGGCAGACUAGAGUACUGUAGAGGGGGGUAGAAUUUCAGGUGUAGCGGUGAAAUGCGUAGAGAUCUGAAGGAAUACCGGUGGCGAAGGCGGCCCCCUGGACAGAUACUGACACUCAGAUGCGAAAGCGUGGGGAGCAAACAGGAUUAGAUACCCUGGUAGUCCACGCCGUAAACGAUGUCUACUUGGAGGUUGUGGCCUUGAGCCGUGGCUUUCGGAGCUAACGCGUUAAGUAGACCGCCU
Molecule: ribosomal RNA, 511 nt
Filed under: Vibrio sp. 8Bb1S1
Lineage: Bacteria; Pseudomonadati; Pseudomonadota; Gammaproteobacteria; Vibrionales; Vibrionaceae
Description: bacterial SSU rRNA
Rfam family: Bacterial small subunit ribosomal RNA
Source: RNAcentral